Molecule: ribosomal RNA, 253 nt
Filed under: uncultured bacterium
Lineage: Bacteria
Description: partial 16S ribosomal RNA
Rfam family: Bacterial small subunit ribosomal RNA
Source: RNAcentral
UACGUAGGGUGCGAGCGUUGUCCGGAAUUACUGGGCGUAAAGAGCUCGUAGGUGGUUUGUCGCGUUGUUCGUGAAAACCUGAGGCUUAACCUUGGGCGUGCGGGCGAUACGGGCAGACUGGAGUACUGCAGGGGAGACUGGAAUUCCUGGUGUAGCGGUGGAAUGCGCAGAUAUCAGGAGGAACACCGGUGGCGAAGGCGGGUCUCUGGGCAGUAACUGACGCUGAGACACGAAAGCGUGGGGAGCAAACAGG